CUUAUGAUGACAGAUGAAAUGUGAUGAGGUUAAGUCUCAUAAAUGAUUAUAUCUCAUAGUU
This 61-nucleotide transfer RNA is filed under the name Lithobius maqinensis. Its description in RNAcentral is "tRNA-Leu". Lineage: Eukaryota; Metazoa; Arthropoda; Chilopoda; Lithobiomorpha; Lithobiidae. The record is from RNAcentral.